RNAcentral lists this long non-coding RNA (1787 nucleotides) under Sinocyclocheilus grahami. RNAcentral's name for it is "lncRNA (ENSSGRG00000045889.1)". The record is from RNAcentral. Lineage: Eukaryota; Metazoa; Chordata; Actinopteri; Cypriniformes; Cyprinidae.
CCGCAGAUUUGUUUUUUUUCCAUCCUGGUUGAACUUUCUAGCGUGACACUAAUAAGUUCAUUAGCAUCAUAUAUGCGGCUUAGCAGGGCGCGGGGGGCAUAGCCUAACAAAUGUGUGGAGUCAAUUGUUCUUCAGUUGUUUGAAAUACUGUUCAGAAUUUUUUGUCCAAGACUUCAAAACUAAUUUCGAACUCCACAACAAAGCUUCCCAGCUGUGGAGUAUAACAUCCACGUGGACACCUUGAUGAAGCAGCUAAUUUGGUGGAUGAGAACACCGGCGAAAAACUACUCUAAGCACAUCGGCUAGCUUUCCUGUAGGAGAAAUAUCAGUCAAGCUCCUGAGAGACAGAAUUGGAAAAAAAGAAAAAACGAGGAAAACAAGGCCGCAAAACAAACAAUGUUGCUCUCGCCACAUUUAACAUCGAGCCUCUCUGGGGAACAACAAUGGCUUCAGCAAGGCCGCAGCGCGUCUACACGUUGCUAGAUCUCUCUCUGGCCCGUUGGGUCGUGCUCGACCAGCAAAAGUUGAAACAAUUGAAGUUUUAUAUUUUCCAUUGAGCUCAGCACUCAGACGUGUAUUAAAGCUUGGCCGUUUAUGCUGUCCCCUUCAUCUGAAGUCCUGUUACGGGAGCGCUUGGUGCGUGAAGGUUUGGAGGGUGAAGGGCUUGUUGAGAUGGUGCUUCGGUGAGGAGUGUUGCUGCUUGAGGUUUCCCAAGGGGACGCUCCUGAGAAGUUGGCUCACCAAGUCCCGACCCAGACUGCUGCUGCUCAUCGCCGGCUUGAAGAGGCCUCAGGUCACCCUCAUGCGCAGGAAAAGGAUGAAACGCACCAAAGUAGCAAAGGCCACGUAAGCGCAGCUGCAGUCGUAUGCCGCAUUUCACUUGAAUCGCUGACACAGAGAGAAGCUCCAUCUGCCGUCGACAUGAACGCAGACCCAGAAACAGAGAAAGCAUCUCAGUCGUCUCGGCCAAACAUACGAACUAAACACCAAAGCAGAAGCAGCAGAGGCUCAGAGAUUGUUGUGAAAAUGAGGGAUCUUCCACAAAGAUCCAGACCCCCCGACUAAGAUCCGGAGCCUCCCAGUGACAUUUGUUCAUCUUUCUCUCAAAUACACUUCUGUCAUGCAGAAUGUUGCAUGUUCACUACACAGCGUGUGACAGCACAUUAUUGCUCUUGCCUUUGCUUGACAGUGCUUUCCUUUCCUGUGUUCUCUGGUCAGGAUUUCAGGGACUUUUAUUUUUCGAUUCCUAAUGAUGUGUGUGGGUGAAAAAGAAGAAAAACAAUGAGAGAAAAAAAGAAAAGGGUAUAAUUGCCUUGAGCUAGUAAGCAACAGCACACCAGUGGGGUUUUCUGUUGAGCUCGUCAGACUAACGGUCUAUUACUGUGUCCUGAGGAGUAAAAUAUUUCAUUUACAUGACAAUAUCCAAUGAAAAAAAAAACAUUACAUCAGAGUUACAUAAAUCCAAAUGGAUUAUUCUGUGGCCCCCAUUAUCAUUUAGAAACCCCAAAAAAAUCAUCAUUGAAACAAAAAAAUAAUAAUCAAGCAGCUAUUUGACAUAGUUUAUAGAACUAAUUGGUUGUUACUGAAGACGUCCACAUAAUUAUUGAUAAAAACUGCACUAAUUGUUAGGUGAAGCAUGUCAAAUCUAGCGCAUAUAUCACACAAAAUCCAAGGAAAAAAUAAGAAAUUAUAUUUUGCAUUAAGAAAAUGACCAUAUUUUAGGACCAUUGUAAUUUUUGUUUACAUUGUGACAUUAUUUUCAUGACAAUUAAGAACAUUUUACCCCA